AACGCACAUUGCGCCCGCCGGUAUUCUGGCGGGCAUGCCUGUCCGAGCGUCAUUUCAACCCCUCGAGCCCCCGGGCCCGGUGUUGGGGAACGACCAGCAGCCCUCCGGGGCGGUCGUCCCUGAAAUACAGUGGCGGUCACGUCGCGGACCCUCUGCGUAGUAGCAACACCUCGCACUGGAGAGCGGCGCGCCCACGCCCCGAAACACUUCUUUCACAGGUUGACCUCGGAUCAGGUAGGAAUACCCGCUGAACUUAA
Molecule: unclassified non-coding RNA, 257 nt
Filed under: uncultured fungus
Lineage: Eukaryota; Fungi
Description: partial contains 5.8S ribosomal RNA, internal transcribed spacer 2, and large subunit ribosomal RNA
Source: RNAcentral